GCCAAAGCACAGAGAACUGUGUCCACAAUUCUGCAUGGCAUGGCAUCUCCAAAUAGCUGCAGAUGUGAGACACAGAUGUGAGACAGAGAGUUGCAACAGUCAAAAGAAAUCUUAUUCCGUGAUGAAGAUCAUAGAUUGUAUAAUGAAUAUUGUACCAAACACUCAUCGGAGUCUGUGUAAAGAAAGAAGCCUGUACCCCACUUGCAAACCGCCACCCACUUUGCCUCUCCUAAUAGGCACCAUUUCAUACAUAACUUGUUUGUUCUGCUCACUUUAUGUAUAUUAUAAUACAAAUAAAAAAUCUUGCUUUUCAAGAA
Molecule: long non-coding RNA, 317 nt
Organism: Xenopus tropicalis (tropical clawed frog)
Lineage: Eukaryota; Metazoa; Chordata; Amphibia; Anura; Pipidae
Exons: 2
Source: RefSeq, a predicted model, not a curated record